AAAAAGGCAUGAUUUAGAAAUUGGACACACGCGCUCAACGCGCAUUUGCUGAGACUGGCUGUGAAAUUUUUAUUUUUUCAAUUUUUUAUUCGAAAAGUGUGAAAAUAGAGUUCUCUGAUUGGCUGAAAAAAUGAAAAUAGUAGGGAAGCUCCUCCUCUCCUAUAUUUGAAAACAAUAAUAAAGACUCUGAGUGAAAACUCUAUCAGAGACAAAGCAUAUUUUUUUCAGAUUAUAUAGCUGCUCUUUGAUUUGCAGUGCGACGAGUAGAAAGAAGCCUUUACUUAUAUGUGAAAUUUAAGUUGAGACUUUUUGCAACUUCUCUUAUUCAAUUUCCACAGAAUACUUGGAAAAUUAUCCAUAUACCUGAAAAGCCUAUAUCGUCACUUGACCCUCAGCCCACUGGUAUGGCCAACUUCAACUUCAUUUUUCGUAUCAUUAUGUAGAUUUAGUAUCAAAACAAUAAAAUUAAAAAAAAAA
Molecule: long non-coding RNA, 477 nt
Organism: Arabidopsis lyrata subsp. lyrata
Lineage: Eukaryota; Viridiplantae; Streptophyta; Magnoliopsida; Brassicales; Brassicaceae
Exons: 2
Source: RefSeq, a predicted model, not a curated record